RNAcentral lists this ribosomal RNA (492 nucleotides) under uncultured bacterium. RNAcentral describes it as "partial 16S ribosomal RNA". It matches the Rfam family "Bacterial small subunit ribosomal RNA", at positions 29 to 508 of the family's 1533-position model. The record is from RNAcentral.
AGUGAACGCUGGCGGUAGGCCUAACACAUGCAAGUCGAACGGCAGCACAGUAAGAGCUUGCUCUUACGGGUGGCGAGUGGCGGACGGGUGAGGAAUACAUCGGAAUCUACUUUUUCGUGGGGGAUAACGUAGGGAAACUUACGCUAAUACCGCAUACGACCUACGGGUGAAAGCAGGGGAUCUUCGGACCUUGCGCGAUUGAAUGAGCCGAUGUCGGAUUAGCUAGUUGGCGGGGUAAAGGCCCACCAAGGCGACGAUCCGUAGCUGGUCUGAGAGGAUGACAGCCCACACUGGAACUGAGACCCGGCCCGGCCCCUCACGGGACGCACUAGGGGGGAAUUUGGCCCACUGGCCCCAAGCCUGACCGCCCCGCCCCGGGGGGGAGAAACGGCCCUUCGGGUUUUAAACCCUUUUUUUGGGGAAAAAAAACCACCGGUUUAACCCCCCGUUGUUCGCCCGCUCCCCAAAAAAACACCCCGGCCAACCUUCGGC